Osmerus eperlanus (European smelt) is the source of this 197-nucleotide small nuclear RNA. RefSeq annotates it as U2 spliceosomal RNA. Lineage: Eukaryota; Metazoa; Chordata; Actinopteri; Osmeriformes; Osmeridae. The transcript has a single exon. The record is from RefSeq and is a predicted model, not a curated record.
AUCGCUUCUCGGCCUUUUGGCUCAGAUCAAGUGUAGUUUCUGUUCUUGUCAGUUUAAUAUCUGAUAGGUCUCCCACGGGGGCGACCAGUUCUUAUUAAGCAGAUUUUUGCAAACAGGGAGUCGGAACGAGGGCUCGCUCCGUCCGCUCCGCGCAUCGCCCCGGUAUCGCAGCUCCUCCGGGGAACGGUGCACUCUUU